CAGCAGCCGCGGUAAUACGUAGGUGGCAAGCGUUAUCCAGAAUUAUUGGGCGUAAAGCGCGCGUAGGCGGUUUUUUAAGUCUGAUGUGAAAGCCCACGGCUCAACCGUGGAGGGUCAUUGGAAACUGGAAAACUUGAGUGCAGAAGAGGAAAGUGGAAUUCCAUGUGUAGCGGUGAAAUGCGCAGAGAUAUGGAGGAACACCAGUGGCGAAGGCGACUUUCUGGUCUGUAACUGACGCUGAUGUGCGAAGGCGUGGGGAUCAAACAGGAUUAGAUACCCCUGUAGUCCCUGUCUCUUAUAC
Molecule: ribosomal RNA, 301 nt
Filed under: uncultured bacterium
Lineage: Bacteria
Description: partial 16S ribosomal RNA
Rfam family: Bacterial small subunit ribosomal RNA
Source: RNAcentral